GCCUUCGUGGUGUAAUGGUCAGCACAUUCGGCUCGUAUUCGAGAGGUCCGAGUCUCGGCGAUGGCA
Stegodyphus mimosarum is the source of this 66-nucleotide non-coding RNA. The record is from Rfam. Lineage: Eukaryota; Metazoa; Arthropoda; Arachnida; Araneae; Eresidae.